Molecule: unclassified non-coding RNA, 304 nt
Filed under: plant metagenome
Description: partial contains 5.8S ribosomal RNA, internal transcribed spacer 2, and large subunit ribosomal RNA
Rfam family: 5.8S ribosomal RNA (bases 1-105)
Source: RNAcentral
GAAAUGCGAUAAGUAAUGUGAAUUGCAGAAUUCAGUGAAUCAUCGAAUCUUUGAACGCACAUUGCGCCCGCCAGUAUUCUGGCGGGCAUGCCUGUUCGAGCGUCAUUUCAACCAUCAAGCCCCCGGCUUGUGUUGGGGACCUGCGGCUGCCCGCAGGCCCUGAAAAACAGUGGCGGGCUCGCUGUCACACCGAGCGUAGUAGCAUACAUUCUCGCUCAGGGCGUGCUGCGGGUUCCGGCCGUUAAACGACCUUCAUAACCCAAGGUUGACCUCGGAUCAGGUAGGAAGACCCGCUGAACUUAAG